Long non-coding RNA from Herpailurus yagouaroundi (jaguarundi), 747 nucleotides. RefSeq lists it as uncharacterized. The transcript is spliced from 3 exons. Lineage: Eukaryota; Metazoa; Chordata; Mammalia; Carnivora; Felidae. The record is from RefSeq and is a predicted model, not a curated record.
UCCAAGUUCACACCCCCUCCUGAGACAGCCUGUAGCGGUUGGUCAGUGUGGGAGGACAGAGGUCUGAUUCUCUUGCCGCUGCGGGGAAAAUUCUGAAGGGUCACAAGAGCUCCAGAGUUCCUGUGUCCAAUUCUGUGGCCUUCUCGCUCUCACAGGUGGUACUGAUACCAACACAAGCUUCAUAAGCCUUUACUCAGAUUUCUUUAAAAAACAAAACAAAACAAAACAACAUUUUAUUUAUUGUUUUUAAGUAAUCUCUACACCCAGCAUGGGGCUGGAACUCACAACCCUGAGAUGGAGAGUCCCACCCUCCACCGACUGAGCCAGCCAGUGGCACCCUUUACUCAGAUUUCGGUCUCAAAGUGUGUUUGCCCGGAAACUCAACCUGCCAAGAGUCGGUGCCAAGACUACCAAGGAGAGCUGAAUCUAAACUGUGAUUUUGUUUUAUUUUUUAUAUUUUACUGAUAGAUUGGUGUGGUUGACAUCUUUAUUGCUUUGGAGGUGGGGGCAGGUGCUCAGGAGCUCUUGGUGGGGGCGGCUCCCUCUUCACCGGCACAGGCUUCUGGCAGCCAUGUGCACAUCUGGGCAGUACUUGCUCUUGCGGGUCGUGUGCCUGGUGCUACUGAGGGUGGCCCGGGCAUUCUUGUUGACAGCAGUCCUCACGCAGGAGGUCGCGGGGUUUCACUGGCCGGAUCUCUGCUUCCUGACCACCGCUGCACCAUGCCUUUGCCGCAGGCCCCCGGCGCC